Xylella fastidiosa is the source of this 87-nucleotide non-coding RNA. The record is from Rfam. Lineage: Bacteria; Pseudomonadati; Pseudomonadota; Gammaproteobacteria; Lysobacterales; Lysobacteraceae.
GUCGGGAGGGCGGCAGCGAUACAACACCCGCAAGGGGAAAACUGCCCGCCGUCCGAGUUCGGUUUCUUAGCCUCCCGACACCCACAG